This is a long non-coding RNA of Arachis duranensis, 741 nucleotides long. RefSeq lists it as uncharacterized. The record is from RefSeq and is a predicted model, not a curated record. The transcript is spliced from 4 exons. Lineage: Eukaryota; Viridiplantae; Streptophyta; Magnoliopsida; Fabales; Fabaceae.
UCCCUAAUAUGCUAAUCCAGGAAGCCUGCCCCCAAGCCUAGCCUCCACCACCGCCUUGUGCCUCUAUUGCCGCCGUGCCGUCCGUCGCACCCACCCCUGUUCGCUCUCAGACUCACCAGUCGCAGGCACGCUGUUUCUUCCUCGAGCGUCCGUCGUCUUCCUCUUCCCCUGGAGCUGCUGCAUGCCUGCAUACGAAGGAGGAAGGACAACACACCUGAAUCGAAACUGACGCCGGAGCUAGGGUCACUCACCGUCGCGGGUCACAUACUUAUCCUUAUUAGUGGUUACAUUCAUAUGAUUUUCUUAACAGUUAAUGAUUAUUUAUCCGCUUUGAUUUCCUUGACAUAACAUAAAUAGUUAGUAUUAUUAUAGUUAUAAAUGUUUUAAACUUUACUUGGCAGUGCUAAUCGAGGUGAUAGCUUAGAUCGCAAUAUUGAUGAAGAAAAUCGCUCAACAAAGGAUUUCUUGAUUCUUGAAGGUCAUGAGGAAGCUCAAGAAGAGUUGCCUAAGAAAGCAAAAAUCUUCUUUAGUACUGCAGUUCAGAACUGGGAUGCUGACUUUUAUGUGAAAGUUGAUGACAGUAUUGACAUUGAUCUGGAGGGAUUAAUUGACCUUCUUAACCGCCACCACGGUCAGGAUGGGGCAUAUAUUGGAUGCAUGAAAUCUGGAGAAGUGAUAUCAGAAGAGGGCAAGGCAUGCUACGAGCCUGAAUGGUGGAAAUUUGGGGAUGAAAAGUCGUAA